UUUUUUUUGUGAAAUCAUUUCUGAAAUUUUUCAAAAUUUUUUUGGUUUUUCUAUGCCUUAGAUGUAUGCGGACUAAAAAAUAUACACAAUGCAAUACACACUUCCUGAGCCCUCCCCAAAACUUAAAUCACACAGUCCACUGUGUGGAUAAACUUGGAAGAGAGUACCCAGGACAAAUCCAUUCACAGAAACAAAAUAAAGAACAAAUCACAAGAGAUGAUAUAAUACAAUGGUGAAGUGAGGCGCUUACCUCAGUCGAAGAAUGAACGAAGUCGGUCGUCAAUGGCUGCUUGUGAUUGCUCCCUGGCCAUAGACGAACCGCCCUGUUCCGUAUCAGCUCCAGUAGGUGGGUACUCGACCUCCUCAGCUCUGUGGCGGCCAUCACCGCUCUGAGGAUACUCGACCUCUCUUCUUCAUGUAAACUACGAGAAUGCAGAAGUCGUCUACCCUUGUUGUUAGAUUGAGUGAGUGUGGUCCUCCUCUUCCUCCCAGAUUCAUGAGGCUCGAAUGAUGAAUGCCUCGCAGGGACAUGCAGAAUCUCCUGCUCUCUAGGCUCAGGUUUGCGCCGAAUUGGCUCGGGCGCGUCAUAUCUCCUCGAAGGCAUGUCCUGAGGGAGCUGUCCCUGUGGAAUAGCUGUAGUGGAAGUGGAGCAGCUGAUCUUAUCCUUCAGAAACUUGAUAGCCCUGAGGCACUUGGCGAGAAACUUAUCCUGUUUCUUGCACCACUUCUGCAGCUUGAUGUUAUUCCUGUGAGCUUCGCUCAAACUCUUGCUUUCCCUCGCUGGAAGUAUAUGCUCACUGAAAUGAUACAUGCUCGUGUCAAACUCCGCCUAAUCUAUGUCAUCUGUCUCAUCAACAUCUUCUGUUAUAGCUCCUUCGGUGUGACUAAUCUCCUCAGUUGGCAGACUGCCCUCGAAAUAAAGAUCUUCAAGCGCAGGCUUGAAGUCAAUGUUCCUGCCCUCAAGAAUCCUAGUAGCAUCAAUGUAGGGGAGAAGAAUGUUGGCGAUUCUAAUCGAUGAAUGCUCGAACCUGUAGCGGUGAAAGUCGCUAGCCAUGUCAAACUCCAAGAACUCACAUCGGCGCAAGUGAUCCAAGUCCAUCAUUCUCGGUGCUAACCCUGGUUCCUUAAGCGGUACUCCACAAGCUUCCAGAAUUGGCGUCACAACGCCAUCCAUGCAUAGUGCUCCUGUCACCUUAUUCUUGUCGUUCGUCAACGCCCACUUCCUAUAUCCACACAGGUGGAUCAACAGAGGCAUGACUAGUGGUGCGUUGUUGAGAUCGCCUCUCAAGACAUUCUUUCCCUUUGUACAGCAGAGAAUCCCUGUAAGCGCGGAAUCUAUCAUCUCCAUGUCCGUGUUAGACACGGUGCAUGUAGACUCCCUAGAGUAAAAAACGUUGGCAACCGAGCGGUGAAAGUAGCGGAUCACAGGACUCCGGAUUUGGUUGCUUUUGGACCGCGCCAAGUUUAGCGGUAAAUUAUUCCCAAUAGUAGCCCACAAAUCCUUAAGCUCUUCCCUGUCAAACCUGGUUUUGGUUCCCUUUCCACUAGGGAAACAAAACAGUUCUUCCAACUUCUUGAUCGAAAGCUGAUACCACUGUUCAUCCAUUGAGAACGUCAAGAACCCUAACCCUAAACCCUAAACCCUAAACCCUAAACCCUAAACCCUAAACCCUAAACCCUAAACCCUAAACCCUAAACCCUAAACCCUAAACCCUAAACCCUAAACCCUAAACCCUAAACCCUAAACCCUAAACCCUAAACCCUAAACCCUAAACCCUAAACCCUAAACCCUAAACCCUAAACCCUAAACCCUAAACCCUAAACCCUAAACCCUAAACCUUAAACCCUAAACCCUAAACCCUAAACCCUAAACCCUAAACCCUAAACCCUAAACCCUAAACCCUAAACCCUAAACCCUAAACUCAAUGUAUGUGAGUCCCUCAUACAUCUCCACUUGCAGUGUGGAAAGAAACUCGAUUGUCUCCUCCUUAUAGGAAGCGUAAGAGUAAGACAUGAGUGUUUCCAGAUGCCACUUCUCGAACAGAUGCUGCACGUCCUCCAGUAACCCCAGCUGGGCUAAAGUCUCAUAGUAGGGAUACCUCGUUCCCCAUAAAUCAUUCAUCUCAAAGAAUCUGAUAUACUCCUCCACUGUAACCUAUUCGGGUUUGUUCAGUAGCUUCGUCUUCUUGCACCAUGACUUUGGCUCAUACUCAGUUUUGAUGUCCUCAUCAAUCAGCUCAUAUCUACUGGGCAUCGCUCUCUUCCCUCUGGUGAUUUCUGCUCUUCUCUGAUUACGUCGAGCAGAGGAGCGUUGAAAUUCAUCCCUGAAGCUCUCGUAAACAUGUUCCUCUCUCUCCGGUCUAGAGGACCAGGACUCAGCUUCAUCCACAUUAUAAUCAGGAUCCAUAGAGGAUUCUCGACUGUAGUUACUCAUGAUCAAACCUGUAAACAAUUGAAACUCAAAGAUAAACGUUAAUAAGUUAGUCUCAACAAAACCAAAAACACAAACCAACACAGUAAACCGGUCGAGUGAUGUAAUCGAGUAAACCUUCGUUUAAUUUUUUUUU
RNAcentral lists this small RNA (2567 nucleotides) under Arabidopsis thaliana (thale cress). RNAcentral's name for it is "ATSL162630". The record is from RNAcentral. Lineage: Eukaryota; Viridiplantae; Streptophyta; Magnoliopsida; Brassicales; Brassicaceae.